This 253-nucleotide ribosomal RNA is filed under the name uncultured bacterium. RNAcentral's name for it is "partial 16S ribosomal RNA". It matches the Rfam family "Bacterial small subunit ribosomal RNA", at positions 524 to 776 of the family's 1533-position model. The record is from RNAcentral.
UACGAAGGGGGCUAGCGUUGCUCGGAAUCACUGGGCGUAAAGGGUGCGUAGGCGGGUUUUUAAGUCAGGGGUGAAAUCCUGGAGCUCAACUCCAGAACUGCCUUUGAUACUGAAGAUCUUGAGUCCGGGAGAGGUGAGUGGAACUGCGAGUGUAGAGGUGAAAUUCGUAGAUAUUCGCAAGAACACCGGUGGCGAAGGCGGCCCACUGGUCCGGUACUGACGCUGAGGUGCGAAAGCGUGGGGAGCAAACAGG